UUAAUAAAACAACCCUGUAUUUCGUCACGGUAAAAGCCGCCACCUGUUUCAUCUUGUUCACUCCCCAUGCUACAGUCACCGGCGGUAUUUGUAUCUCUAGCGGAAGCUAGCUCAAGCUGCACUGGUGUUUCUAGCUAACGACGCACCGUCACCGGCGGCGCUGAUUCUAGCACUCUCCGUCACAAGCGGUAGCACUGUGUUGCCUGCAUAUUCGGGAUGAUGAUAUACAGCAAAUAGACAAGAUCCAAAUGGAAGUGGGAGCCAAAGAGACAGCUAAGAUUGUUUAGGGGUUCCAGUAAGAAGGUUAUCCCGACAAAGGUCUAACCACUCAAAUGUGCUCCAAGUCAGGAGGAUGGCUUCAACGAGCUUCAUGAUUUGGAGAGUUCAUUUGCUUCAUUUCCUAUCAAAUCAUUGCAAGCAUUUAAGUAAGGAUUAUUUCCGUCUCAUCUUCAUUGCUAACAGCUUCAUCAAUAUAAUUAAGUGUCUUCCAGGGUGGCGGAAUGUAUUUUCCUGAAAUUUUCAGUUUGAAAUUGUUUGUAAAAUUGAGUUGGAUGGAAUAAAAAUGCUGACUUAAGAAACUUUUUUUCCCCAAUUCAUUCUUGUUAUUUUCUAAUCAUUACUGUUCUUAUGCAUUUGUGUAAUAUAAAUGCCAAUUAGAAAAAAAGAUAGAAUUUUCUUCCCUGUAAUUAUUUUUUCCCUUAUUGAUGAAGAGGUUGUUUUGAUAUUGGUGAGGAUGAUGAGGGUUCAAGGUCAGUUUCUUUUAAGACCAAGAAACUGGAAGGAGUGAGAGAGGGGAUUUAGGGCAAAUAGCUCUUUCCCAUGUCAUCCCAUUUCUGAGCAUAGAAAGUUUUUGAGUGGUUCACUAAUACUCGAUAAUGGUUUUUCUCCUAUGAAAGUUACACAUGACGGAGACAGGUAAUUUUGAUCCUGAUUGUAGUUGUACUUUCUCUUUAUUUAUUUGCUACCAAGAGGUUUUAAAGAAUUUAUGAUUAGGUUAAUUUUUCCUUCUUAGUUCACUUAAAGAAAAAUAAGAUAUUAUACUGUCCAUGUAUAGCUUUUUCUCAAUUUAUCUGAAAAUUAAACUUUGAAAACCUCUGCAAGCUUUUUCCAAAGUUGAUCAGAAUUCUUAGAUAUGUUAUUUAGCUUCUUUAGAUAAUUGUUCUGGAAAAUUAGAGUAAAACCUCCUAUAAAAAUAUUGGCUACUUGCUCUUGAAUAAUGCAAUUAGUAGAUUCAAUGAUUUAUAAGGAUUAGUCUUUCAGUGUUCUUCCAUGUGUCACAUCUAUAUUUGUGAAUGUUCUCUGUAAAUUUGCUCAUGUGAGUUGUGCAACUCACUUUCUUUUUAUGGAUGCAUAAUAUAGUUGUACAGAGACACAUUAAGCUCUCUGACCUAUGCCGCCUUCAAUUUUUAAUCCUGUGGAAAGCAUGAUGUAAACUUGGGACAGAAUUAUUAUUGGGUUGCUUUGAACCUAUGUUGCAUGAAAUGCCAGUUUAAAAAUUCCAGGACAGAAAUAUUAAUGUUAGAACAAGAUAUGGUUUUUGGCGGUGACACAUGAUACACCACAUCAAAAGUCUUCUUUAUAUCAAAAGGCUGCCUGCUGUUGUGAUGUCUACACAAAGAUCCGAAAAAUAAUCUGAGAGGAACUACGGUGGCCCAUUGCAUUAUCG
Molecule: long non-coding RNA, 1666 nt
Organism: Pistacia vera
Lineage: Eukaryota; Viridiplantae; Streptophyta; Magnoliopsida; Sapindales; Anacardiaceae
Exons: 4
Source: RefSeq, a predicted model, not a curated record